RNAcentral lists this ribosomal RNA (253 nucleotides) under uncultured bacterium. Its description in RNAcentral is "partial 16S ribosomal RNA". It matches the Rfam family "Bacterial small subunit ribosomal RNA", at positions 524 to 776 of the family's 1533-position model. The record is from RNAcentral.
GACGAACCGUGCGAACGUUGUUCGGAUUCACUGGGCUUAAAGGGCGCGUAGGCGGCGGCUCAAGUCGGGGGUGAAAUCCUUCCGCUUAACGGGAGAAUUGCCUUCGAUACUGGGUCGCUGGAGGGGGAUAGGGGUGCGCGGAACUUCCGGUGGAGCGGUGAAAUGCGUAGAUAUCGGAAGGAACGCCGGUGGCGAAAGCGGCGCACUGGAUCCCUACUGACGCUGAGGCGCGAAAGCCAGGGGAGCAAACGGG